This 439-nucleotide ribosomal RNA is filed under the name uncultured bacterium. Its description in RNAcentral is "partial 16S ribosomal RNA". It matches the Rfam family "Bacterial small subunit ribosomal RNA", at positions 339 to 795 of the family's 1533-position model. The record is from RNAcentral.
CUACGGGUGGCAGCAGUGGGGAAUAUUGCACAAUGGAGGAAACUCUGAUGCAGCAACGCCGCGUGGAGGAUGACACUUUUCGGAGCGUAAACUCCUUUUAUAUAGGAAGAAGAUGACGGUACUAUAUGAAUAGGCGCCGGCUCACUCCGUGCCAGCAGCCGCGGUAAUACGGAGGGCGCAAGCGUUACUCGGAAUCACUGGGCGUAAAGAGCGUGUAGGCGGAUUAAAAAGUCAGAAGUGAAAUCCUAUAGCUUAACUAUAGAACUGCUUCUGAAACUCUUAAUCUAGAAUAUGGGAGAGGUAGAUGGAAUUUCUGGUGUAGGGGUAAAAUCCGUAGAGAUCAGAAGGAAUACCGAUUGCGAAGGCGAUCUACUAGAACAUUAUUGACGCUGAGACGCGAAAGCGUGGGGAGCAAACAGGAUUAGAUACCCCCGUAGUC